This 465-nucleotide ribosomal RNA is filed under the name Vreelandella stevensii. Its description in RNAcentral is "partial 16S ribosomal RNA". It matches the Rfam family "Bacterial small subunit ribosomal RNA", at positions 338 to 795 of the family's 1533-position model. The record is from RNAcentral. Lineage: Bacteria; Pseudomonadati; Pseudomonadota; Gammaproteobacteria; Oceanospirillales; Halomonadaceae.
CCUACGGGAGGCUGCAGUGGGGAAUAUUGGACAAUGGGGGCAACCCUGAUCCAGCCAUGCCGCGUGUGUGAAGAAGGCCCUCGGGUUGUAAAGCACUUUCAGUGAGGAAGAACGCCUGGUGGUUAAUACCCAUCAGGAAAGACAUCACUCACAGAAGAAGCACCGGCUAACUCCGUGCCAGCAGCCGCGGUAAUACGGAGGGUGCGAGCGUUAAUCGGAAUUACUGGGCGUAAAGCGCGCGUAGGUGGCUUGAUAAGCCGGUUGUGAAAGCCCCGGGCUCAACCUGGGAACGGCAUCCGGAACUGUCAAGCUAGAGUGCAGGAGAGGAAGGUAGAAUUCCCGGUGUAGCGGUGAAAUGCGUAGAGAUCGGGCGGAAUACCAGUGGCGAAGGCGGCCUUCUGGACUGACACUGACACUGAGGUGCGAAAGCGUGGGUAGCAAACAGGAUUAGAUACCCGUGUAGUC